This 497-nucleotide ribosomal RNA is filed under the name uncultured bacterium. Its description in RNAcentral is "partial 16S ribosomal RNA". It matches the Rfam family "Bacterial small subunit ribosomal RNA", at positions 28 to 507 of the family's 1533-position model. The record is from RNAcentral.
GAUGAACGCUGGCGGCGUGCCUAAUACAUGCAAGUCGAGCGAACGGACGAGAAGCUUGCUUCUCUGAUGUUAGCGGCGGACGGGUGAGUAACACGUGGAUAACCUACCUAUAAGACUGGGAUAACUUCGGGAAACCGGAGCUAAUACCGGAUAAUAUUUUGAACCGCAUGGUUCAAAAGUGAAAGACGGUCUUGCUGUCACUUAUAGAUGGAUCCGCGCUGCAUUAGCUAGUUGGUAAGGUAACGGCUUACCAAGGCAACGAUGCAUAGUCGACCUGAGAGGGUGAUCGGCCACACUGGAACUGAGACACGGUCCAGACUCCUACGGGAGGCAGCAGUAGGGAAUCUUCCGCAAUGGGCGAAAGCCUGACGGAGCAACGCCGCGUGAGUGAUGAAGGUCUUCGGAUCGUAAAACUCUGUUAGUAGGGAAGAACAUAUGUGUAAGUAACUGUGCACAUCUUGACGGUACCUAAUCAGAAAGCCACGGCUAACUACGUG